Molecule: ribosomal RNA, 253 nt
Filed under: uncultured bacterium
Lineage: Bacteria
Description: partial 16S ribosomal RNA
Rfam family: Bacterial small subunit ribosomal RNA
Source: RNAcentral
UACGUAGGUUGCGAGCGUUAUUCGGAUUUACUGGGCGUAAAGAGCACCGAGGUGGCUUCUUAAGUUGGAUGUAAAAUCUCCUGCUUAACUGGGAGGCGCCAUUCAAAACUGAGGAGCUUGAGGUCAGCAGGGGAAGGUGGAAUUCCCGGUGUAGUGGUGGAAUGCGUAGAGAUCGGGAGGAACACCAGUGGCGAAAGCGACCUUCUGGGCUGCACCUGACACUCUAGUGCGAAAGCGUGGGGAGCAAACAGGA